GAUGAUGAUGACUCAAAAGAAUAAUUAGUUAAAGAAUGAAAUGGUCAAACUCCUCCACCAAGUCCUACUCCAAUAAGUCCUAUAUCGACAACAUUGAUGUCAGGUCGCAGGGACAUAAUAGGUCCCAAACACAGAAUAAAAUGCUAAGAUAAUUUGUCUUCUCUUCGGGUGAGAAGUCUACCACAAUUUGCAUAGAAUGAUUACUUGUCUUCAAUUGAUAAACUUUGGCUCUGAUUAAAUAAGCAAAGCCAAGCAACGUAUAAAUAAACAAGCCGUGUACAAAUAAACUGAAAUAAAGGGAAACUACUAACUAGACUGCAACCCACGUAAAACAGAGCAUAUAAAUAAACUACAACCCACAAAUAACAGAACAUGCAGAAACAUAACAUAACUAACGAAAAUGAAAUGGACGUAAAACUCCCAACUGCCAUGACCCAAUCUUGCUCUUCACGUCCCAGCUUAUCCCAAGUAUUUGGGAUUUUUCCCUCUCUGAAUGUCAUGGCCUAACAAUACCUCCCCAUCAAGUGGAUCCUUGUCCUCAAGGUCCAAAUUUGAAAACAUCUCCCUUAACUUCUUUGUUGGCUCCCAUGUUACCUCCUCGGCUGGAAGGUUCUUCCAUUGCAUUAAGCUUUUUUCGACCAGUUGGGUGCCUUGUUUGAUCCAAUGGUAGUCUAAAAUAGUUUGUGGCUUCAAUACAAUUACCCCUUCAUCGGUGAAUGGUGGUAACUCGGCCUAUGGCAUUUCAGCG
This 748-nucleotide long non-coding RNA is filed under the name Panax ginseng (ginseng). Its description in RNAcentral is "long non-coding RNA (PGIN_LNC016953)". Lineage: Eukaryota; Viridiplantae; Streptophyta; Magnoliopsida; Apiales; Araliaceae. The record is from RNAcentral.